UGCUUCUCUUGCGCUCUUGGGCUC
RNAcentral lists this microRNA (24 nucleotides) under Equus caballus (horse). RNAcentral describes it as "eca-miR-9127". Lineage: Eukaryota; Metazoa; Chordata; Mammalia; Perissodactyla; Equidae. The record is from miRBase by way of RNAcentral.